GGGGCUGUAACGGUUUCGACGUUUUGGCGAACACUACCUCGUGAUUCAGGCCGAGAGUGAGUCUCCUCUCGUGAAUAAAAGACUCAAACCAAAUGUAAGUGCGAAUAACAUCGUUCCUUUUGCUCGUAAGUCUGCACCCGUUGCAGUUGCUUAAUUAGGAAAACAAACCUCGAGCGUCUUCUGAUUGACUCCGUUAAGGUCAGUAGACAAAACCCCAACGGAUGCGCUACCUAGCUGCCCUUGGUCAACUGGAUAGUUAAGAACCUACCAAGGCAUCCUACUGUUCGGGAUAAGGAACAGUCCCCGUCUCUAGGGUACAGAGACUAAGCCUGUGAAUGAGCGGAGUAUUAAUACCCAGGGCGGACACGGGUUCGACUCCCGUCAGCUCCAUUU
RNAcentral lists this transfer-messenger RNA (393 nucleotides) under Merismopedia sp. SIO2A8. It matches the Rfam family "transfer-messenger RNA". From Rfam's summary of the family: Bacterial tmRNA, also known as 10Sa RNA or SsrA, is named for its dual tRNA and mRNA-like properties. Lineage: Bacteria; Bacillati; Cyanobacteriota; Cyanophyceae; Synechococcales; Merismopediaceae. The record is from RNAcentral.